Molecule: long non-coding RNA, 321 nt
Filed under: Capsicum annuum
Lineage: Eukaryota; Viridiplantae; Streptophyta; Magnoliopsida; Solanales; Solanaceae
Description: long non-coding RNA (CANN_LNC010726)
Source: RNAcentral
GUUCGAGUUUUUCACAAAGACUCCUAAAUUUUACUUUCGACCUAUUGCCCCAUAAAUCUUAAUUAAAUCGUUGCAAAUACACCAUUGUUUGCUGAAUUUCAGUCACAAGAAAGAGAGUAAAUGCACAUACCAAUCAGAUACUGCCACAAGUUAAAUAAUUUAAUUUCAUAUUUUAUUUAUAUUUUUGAAUAAAGUUUUCCUUUUUAUUUUAUUUAUCAUCCCACCUCCUCUCCCCCACCCCACCCCAUCCAACAUCUCCCUCUCCAUUCCCUUGUCCAACAACUUCAAUUUGCCAAAAAUAAACACUUUUUUUGAUUGGGA